This 465-nucleotide ribosomal RNA is filed under the name uncultured bacterium. RNAcentral's name for it is "partial 16S ribosomal RNA". It matches the Rfam family "Bacterial small subunit ribosomal RNA", at positions 338 to 795 of the family's 1533-position model. The record is from RNAcentral.
CCUACGGGUGGCAGCAGUAGGGAAUCUUCCACAAUGGACGCAAGUCUGAUGGAGCAACGCCGCGUGAGUGAAGAAGGGCUUCGGCUCGUAAAGCUCUGUUGGUAGUGAAGAAAGAUGGAGGUAGUAACUCUCAUUUAUUUGACGGUAAUUACUUAGAAAGUCACGGCUAACUACGUGCCAGCAGCCGCGGUAAUACGUAGGUGGCAAGCGUUGUCCGGAUUUAUUGGGCGUAAAGCGAGUGCAGGCGGUUCAAUAAGUCUGAUGUGAAAUCCUUCGGCUCAACCGGGGAAUUGCAUCAGAAACUGGUGAACUUGAGUGCAGAAGAGGAGGGUGGAACUCCAGGUGUAGCGGUGGAAUGCGUAGAUAUAUGGAAGAACACCAGUGGCGAAGGCGGCCCUCUGGACUGCGACUGACGCUGAGGCUCGAAAGCAUGGGUAGCGAACAGGAUUAGAUACCCCAGUAGUC